UACCGUGGUCUGUGUGUGUGUGUGUUGUGUUGACGUUGCCAUGGUGAUAUCUACAGUAUAAAUGUCAUUCCGUGUGCCGACCCAGACAUUGACGACUUCCUCAACACACAAGAUGCAGAUUAUCAUCAUCGUUGGACUUCUGGCCUGUGUUUGCCUGGGUGCGGUUCAGAGUGCGACAUCAACCACCGCCCACGCUGCUGGGGUGACCACCCAUCAUGAAACGUCUACACACCACACAGGUCACUCAGGGUCCUCCCCGUUGUCGAUGGCGUUGUGGGUCAACGUGGUGUUGUUGCUGGUCGCAGUCUGUGUACAACGGCUUUAACUUCUUCACCAAGGCUACAGCGGCCUUUCCACCUGUAGUAAAGCACCUGUAGGAUCUGUGUAGGAACACUCUCCGUCAUCGUGUCUCGCGUAAGCUGCUCGAGACUGCUGCUACUGUCCUCUGCUCGGCUCUGCUGCUACUGUCGUCUGCUGGGUCAGCUCCUUUGGGAGCUGCUCGGCUCUGCUGCUACUGUCGUCUGCUAUUGUCGUCUGCUGGGUCAGCCCCUAUGGGAGCUGCUCGAGACUGCUGUUACUGUCGUCUGCCGGGUUGGCUCCUCUGGGAGCUGCUCGAGACUGCUGCUACUGUCGUCUGCUGGGUCAGCUCCUAUGGGAGCUGCUCGGCUCUGCUGCUUUUGUCUGCUGCUGGUGUAUGGGUUGUAGUGAUGACGUCAGCAAAGAUUGCUCACUGAACCUGACCUCGGCCUGUACACACGACUACCUCUUGUUACACAAAUAAACACUCUUUGUGAA
Long non-coding RNA from Haliotis rufescens (red abalone), 795 nucleotides. RefSeq lists it as uncharacterized. Lineage: Eukaryota; Metazoa; Mollusca; Gastropoda; Lepetellida; Haliotidae. The transcript has 3 exons. The record is from RefSeq and is a predicted model, not a curated record.